This 253-nucleotide ribosomal RNA is filed under the name uncultured bacterium. RNAcentral describes it as "partial 16S ribosomal RNA". It matches the Rfam family "Bacterial small subunit ribosomal RNA", at positions 524 to 776 of the family's 1533-position model. The record is from RNAcentral.
GACGAACCGUCCUAACGUUGUUCGGAAUCACUGGGCUUAAAGGGCGCGUAGGCGGGUCAGCAAGUCCGGGGUGAAAUCUUUCGGCUCAACCGGAAAAUAGCCUUGGAUACUGCUGGUCUCGAGGGAGGUAGGGGCACGCGGAACUUCCGGUGGAGCGGUGAAAUGCGUAGAUAUUGGGAGGAACACCAGAUGCGAAGGCGGGUCACUGGGCUGAUACUGACGCUGAAGUGCGAAAGCCAGGGGAGCGAACGGG